CCUACGGGAGGCAGCAGUGGGGAAUAUUGGACAAUGGGCGAAAGCCUGAUCCAGCAAUGCCGCGUGAGUGAUGAAGGCCUUAGGGUCGUAAAGCUCUUUUACCAGGGAUGAUAAUGACAGUACCUGGAGAAUAAGCUCCGGCUAACUCCGUGCCAGCAGCCGCGGUAAUACGGAGGGAGCUAGCGUUGUUCGGAAUUACUGGGCGUAAAGCGUGCGUAGGCGGUUAUUCAAGUCAGAGGUGAAAGCCCGGGGCUCAACCCCGGAACGGCCUUUGAAACUAGAUAACUAGAAUCUUGGAGAGGUCAGUGGAAUUCCGAGUGUAGAGGUGAAAUUCGUAGAUAUUCGGAAGAACACCAGUGGCGAAGGCGACUGACUGGACAAGUAUUGACGCUGAGGUACGAAAGCGUGGGGAGCAAACAGGAUUAGAUACCCUGGUAGUCCACGCCGUAAACGAUGAUAACUAGCUGUCCGGACACUUGGUGUUUGGGUGGCGCAGCUAACGCAUUAAGUUAUCCGCCUGGGGAGUACGGUCGCAAGAUUAAAACUCAAAAUGAAAUUGACG
This 562-nucleotide ribosomal RNA is filed under the name uncultured bacterium. RNAcentral describes it as "bacterial SSU rRNA". It matches the Rfam family "Bacterial small subunit ribosomal RNA", at positions 338 to 915 of the family's 1533-position model. The record is from RNAcentral.